GGCACUAUAGCCAAGUGGUUAAGGCGACAGAUUAGAAUUUGGUUAAAGAAUUCCAAGCUUCUAUCUGUUACUCUCUGAGUGCGCAGGUUCAAAUCCUGCUGGUGUCG
RNAcentral lists this transfer RNA (107 nucleotides) under Desarmillaria tabescens. Its description in RNAcentral is "Armillaria tabescens (ringless honey mushroom) tRNA". It matches the Rfam family "tRNA". From Rfam's summary of the family: Transfer RNA (tRNA) molecules are approximately 80 nucleotides in length. Their secondary structure includes four short double-helical elements and three loops (D, anti-codon, and T loops). Further hydrogen bonds mediate the characteristic L-shaped molecular structure. tRNAs have two regions of fundamental functional importance: the anti-codon, which is responsible for specific mRNA codon recognition, and the 3' end, to which the tRNAs corresponding amino acid is attached (by aminoacyl-tRNA synthetases). tRNAs cope with the degeneracy of the genetic code in two manners: having more than one tRNA (with a specific anti-codon) for a particular amino acid; and 'wobble' base-pairing, i.e. permitting non-standard base-pairing at the 3rd anti-codon position. The record is from Rfam by way of RNAcentral. Lineage: Eukaryota; Fungi; Basidiomycota; Agaricomycetes; Agaricales; Physalacriaceae.